This 779-nucleotide ribosomal RNA is filed under the name uncultured bacterium. RNAcentral describes it as "bacterial SSU rRNA". It matches the Rfam family "Bacterial small subunit ribosomal RNA", at positions 50 to 802 of the family's 1533-position model. The record is from RNAcentral.
CGAGCGAGCUUGCCUAGAUGAUUUUAGUGCUUGCACUAAAUGAAACUAGAUACAAGCGAGCGGCGGACGGGUGAGUAACACGUGGGUAACCUGCCCAAGAGACUGGGAUAACACCUGGAAACAGAUGCUAAUACCGGAUAACAACACUAGACGCAUGUCUAGAGUUUGAAAGAUGGUUCUGCUAUCACUCUUGGAUGGACCUGCGGUGCAUUAGCUAGUUGGUAAGGUAACGGCUUACCAAGGCAAUGAUGCAUAGCCGAGUUGAGAGACUGAUCGGCCACAUUGGGACUGAGACACGGCCCAAACUCCUACGGGAGGCAGCAGUAGGGAAUCUUCCACAAUGGACGAAAGUCUGAUGGAGCAACGCCGCGUGAGUGAAGAAGGGUUUCGGCUCGUAAAGCUCUGUUGGUAGUGAAGAAAGAUAGAGGUAGUAACUGGCCUUUAUUUGACGGUAAUUACUUAGAAAGUCACGGCUAACUACGUGCCAGCAGCCGCGGUAAUACGUAGGUGGCAAGCGUUGUCCGGAUUUAUUGGGCGUAAAGCGAGUGCAGGCGGUUCAAUAAGUCUGAUGUGAAAGCCUUCGGCUCAACCGGAGAAUUGCAUCAGAAACUGUUGAACUUGAGUGCAGAAGAGGAGAGUGGAACUCCAUGUGUAGCGGUGGAAUGCGUAGAUAUAUGGAAGAACACCAGUGGCGAAGGCGGCUCUCUGGUCUGCAACUGACGCUGAGGCUCGAAAGCAUGGGUAGCGAACAGGAUUAGAUACCCUGGUAGUCCAUGCCG